This 88-nucleotide transfer RNA is filed under the name Catenulispora acidiphila DSM 44928. RNAcentral describes it as "tRNA-Ser". It matches the Rfam family "tRNA". Rfam says of the family: Transfer RNA (tRNA) molecules are approximately 80 nucleotides in length. Their secondary structure includes four short double-helical elements and three loops (D, anti-codon, and T loops). The record is from RNAcentral. Lineage: Bacteria; Bacillati; Actinomycetota; Actinomycetes; Catenulisporales; Catenulisporaceae.
GGAGGAUUCGCCUAGUGGCCUAGGGCGCACGCUUGGAAAGCGUGUUGGGGGCAACCCCUCACGAGUUCAAAUCUCGUAUCCUCCGCCU